Long non-coding RNA from Felis catus (domestic cat), 954 nucleotides. RefSeq lists it as uncharacterized. The record is from RefSeq and is a predicted model, not a curated record. The transcript has 3 exons. NCBI's taxonomy places the organism in Eukaryota, Metazoa, Chordata, Mammalia, Carnivora, Felidae.
AUCCAGGCACAUCAAACUGUAUCUGAGGGAAGGGGAAUGAGGUAGUUAAUGAGGUCCGUGGCAAACCAAAAAGCAUGUAAGCUGCCUAAAUAAUCACUACUCAGUUCAACUAAUUCUUGCUCUAUUAAAAAAAAAAGUGAGUAUUCUCAUAUACUUAUUCAAGGCAGUGUAGGACGAGGUCAUGCAGAGGACACGAUGCGCAGUUGACGAGGGCAGAGGCUCCUCCCACUUGCACACCCUUCCUUGGAAGGCACUUUUUGCCGGGCUGCGCGCCCAGGUCUGUGCGCCAUUUUCAGGGAGGCCGACUUGAGAGAGCUCAUUUUUGAGACCCUCCGGACGGGGUGAUUGUGGAGCUCUUCUUGUCUCUUGGCUGCUCAGGACAAGCCUCUUGCUUAGAAACCUGUCACCUAUCCAUCCCGAAUGAUCGGCCUCUUUCUUGGACCUCGCAGUCUCUUCUGAUAGGCGUCUUUGGGAGCCAUUUUCAGAUUUCACACCAGGAACUACCAAAUUUGUGAACUAAAAGAAAGGUGCCCAAAGUCUAGGAAAGCAGCCUGUUAUGAGUUUCUUCCCACACACAUAAAUAGGAGGAAACACAUAUUGGAAUGGAUCUUGCCCACGUGGACAAAAGGCAUUUAUUAUUUGCAUGUGCCCCAUUCACAACUUGCCUUCCUUUGCAUUCAAGCAUCCUCGUGAUAAGCUUUCCACCUAUAAUAUCUUAAACCACCUAAGUUUGCAAGGUCACAAAAUAAAUAGAUUUUAUUUAUGUGUGCAUGUGUGAGUUUGGGGGAGUUAAAUGCAUCUCUCUGUAAGGAGUAUAAUCCUUCUUCCUUGGGAAAAAAAAUUAAAAUAAAAGACAAAGGGAACACAUUAGCUACUUUUCUUUCUUUCUUUCUUUUUUCUUUUUUUAGGCUUUAUUCAAUCUAUAACUUUUGUUUAUUGACAAUUUUUUCCCUG